GCUUGUCUCAAAGAUUAAGCCAUGCAUGUCUAAGUAUAAGCCUUUAUAUGGUGAGACUGCGAAUGGCUCAUUAAAUCAGAAACUGUUUAUUUGAUAGUGCCUACUACAUGGAUACCUGUAGUAAUUCUAGAGCUAAUACAUGCAAAAAGCCUGGACUUCUGGAACAGGCGUAUUUAUUAGAAUGAAACCAAUCGGCUUCGGCUGUAUUGUGGUGAGUCAUAAUAUCUAAUCGGAUCGCAGAGGCUUCGGCCGGCGAUGAAUCAUUCAAGUUUCUGCCCUAUCAGCUUUCGAUGGUAGUGUAUUGGACUACCAUGGCGGUGACGGGUAACGAAGAAUAAGGGUUCGGUUUCGGAGAGGGAGCCUGAGAGAUGGCUACCACAUCCAAGGAAGGCAGCAGG
Molecule: ribosomal RNA, 398 nt
Filed under: uncultured marine stramenopile
Lineage: Eukaryota
Description: partial small subunit ribosomal RNA
Rfam family: Eukaryotic small subunit ribosomal RNA
Source: RNAcentral